Molecule: ribosomal RNA, 468 nt
Filed under: uncultured bacterium
Lineage: Bacteria
Description: partial 16S ribosomal RNA
Rfam family: Bacterial small subunit ribosomal RNA
Source: RNAcentral
UCCUCCCUCUUUCUUCGUGCUUAACACAUGCAAGUCGAACGGAAAGGCCCUGCUUUUGUGGGGUGCUCGAGUGGCGAACGGGUGAGUAACACGUGAGUAACCUGCCCUUGACUUUGGGAUAACUUCAGGAAACUGGGGCUAAUACCGGAUAGGAGCUCCUGCUGCAUGGUGGGGGUUGGAAAGUUUCGGCGGUUGGGGAUGGACUCGCGGCUUAUCAGCUUGUUGGUGGGGUAGGGGCUUACCAAGGCUUUGCCGGGUAGCCGGCCUGAGAGGGUGACCGGCCACAUUGGGACUGAGAUACGGCCCAGACUCCUACGGGAGGCAGCAGUGGGGAAUAUUGCACAAUGGGCGGAAGCCUGAUGCAGCAACGCCGCGUGCGGGAUGACGGCCUUCGGGUUGUAAACCGCUUUCGCCUGUGACGAAGCGUGAGUGACGGUAAUGGGUAAAGAAGCACCGGCUAACUACGUG